UAGAAUCUCAAAAUCUUAUUUCUCGCGCUGAACUCUCUCUUCUUUGCUGGGCUUUCCCUGCGUCGUCCCCACAAAAAAAGAAAAAAAAACUUUCCCUGCGUCAUCAAUGUAGCUUCCUCAUCGGUGGUUCUGGCCUCCUCGCCAAUCUCCGUUGGGUCUCUUUUCUCGCCUCCUUUCUUUCGCCACCUGUUGGCUUGAUUGGCCAUUGGUUCCAAGGAAAAACAAAGCUGCUCGCGCCGGUGGUUCCAAGAAAGAAAAUUGCUUGCGUCCUUUUUUCCGUCAACCUCCUUACUGUGGCUAGUAAUCUUUGUUGUCCCUUCUUUUAGGGUUGUUCUUGAAGAUGGAUAUGCCGAAGAUAUCAGAUGCUCCUUACCAGCUUCAUUAUCCGGCUUAUGAUAGCAAGACUGAUGCAGCUGGUGAGAAGCGGACAGUGGAGGUGGAUGUUGUAAUUGGAGCUGAUGGGGCCAAAUCCCGGGUUGCUAAUUCUAUUUCUGCUAGGGAUUAUGAGUAUUCUAUUGCCUUUCAGUCUACCUCUUCUAGAAUCAAAUCACUAGGAUAAAAGCUGCUAAUGAAGCUGAGGCGGCUUGCCAGCGGCGUCUCUCUGUUGCUGAGGCUGAAAUAGCUGAUUUAAGAGCCAAAUUGGAUACUACUGAAAGGUGGCAGAAUUGUUGGCAUUUAUGGCACAAAACCGGAGCUUUUCUUAUUGCAAAAUAGUGUAAGUAGUAGCUGAAACAAAUACACCAUUAACUCCUAUGGCUGAGCUCCUUGUGAAGAUCCCAUAUAAAAGGAAAGACUCGCAGAAAUCAGAGGUCUAUACUCCGAGGAAUGCGCCUUAUGUUAGUGAGGAAAUUGAUGUGGUUCGUGAGCAAUGGGCUAAGUUUUUUACGAGCAAGUAUUUAUUAUUAAUGGCAUGAGCGAUCGAGUUGGUUUAGAUUUUAUAGAAUAAUAUUUUAUAUUAAAAUGUAUGCGUACGUUGAAAUUGAAACAUAUAAUUAAAUGUAGUACGUGCACUUUGGAUAUGUAUACAAAACACCAAUUAUUGUUUUAAUAUUUGUUCUACA
Molecule: long non-coding RNA, 1061 nt
Organism: Spinacia oleracea (spinach)
Lineage: Eukaryota; Viridiplantae; Streptophyta; Magnoliopsida; Caryophyllales; Amaranthaceae
Exons: 5
Source: RefSeq, a predicted model, not a curated record